This is a long non-coding RNA of Brassica rapa (field mustard), 1099 nucleotides long. RefSeq lists it as uncharacterized. Lineage: Eukaryota; Viridiplantae; Streptophyta; Magnoliopsida; Brassicales; Brassicaceae. The record is from RefSeq and is a predicted model, not a curated record.
UGAGCUGCGAAUGAGGUCCCAUCAUCCAGAUGUGUCGUAUCACCGAGGCGAUGUCGCUUACGGAUUUGGGAUGCAAGACCGCCAAAGGAAGCAGCUGGUACCGGUUUCCAAAAUCUUUGGAGGCGGGAUGGACAUCUUCGAACUCCAAGUGGCCUAGUAGGGGAAGGGCUUUCAACGAAGAGAUGCUGUUAGAGAAGCAGCAAGCUAACUUAAAGGCUAUGCAGCUGAGUAGUAGUAAGGCAGAAGAGUAUUGAAAGAAAAGCUAGUGCGAUUCUGAAUGGAGGAGGCAACCAAUCUUUUUGGUUGUGAGAAUCUGGAUGGGGACUUGGCUGUCUACAAUGGGUUAUAUAUAUAUAUAUAUAGCUAGCUUUAGAAGCCAUAAAGGAGAAGGUGCCUAGUUGAAGGGAAAAAGUCACAAGAAAGAAAGAUCUCACGAAUCUUUUUUUUAUUUUAUCUUUUCAUAACAGUUACACGCACAAUCUUGGCUUUUUAGGCAGACAAGAUCAUACCAUAACACUUUUUACUUGGAAACUUACCAUUUGAAGCACUCCUUUUUUAUCCUCUUAUCCCAUACAUACAUAACAUGUUUCCAGUCGUAGGUAUGGUUUUGCUUUUUUUGGGGCUGAGAUCUAUUAUCUGAGAUUGUAUUCCACUCUUUUGUCAGGCUUUUGACUCGGAUGAAACGCAAAAGGAUUGGUCUCUGAGAAAAAAGAAUGGCAUAUCACUGAACUGAAGGAGGGGUCAGCAGACGUGGAACGAAAGAAAUCCUUGUGGGAAAAUGAGGAGGCAAUGAUGGGACACGACAACACAAUCCUUGUAAGGCAAAAAAAAAAACUGAACGACAGCACAAACCAAAGCAACCAAUGAGUAAGUCUUUCUGUUACUGAUUUACGGCCUCCUCUUGCAGCUAGCUGACAAAAAUAAAACACUGACUGAAUCAUCUCUUGUAUUCAUAAAUUCUUGUGAUUGACAUUAUGAUGAGAUUAGCUUUAGAUUUUGUUUAAUUUACUUUUGCUAAACAUCCGGCAUGUGGAUAACAGAGAGGGACUCAGUGCUUCCUCAAACAUAAUCAUCUCGGAUAAUCUCAUUUUAUUUGUCU